UGUUGCAGGCUGUUGCAUAGCCUUUGCUCUUUCUUCAUUAGGUGUGGCAUUUUUUAUGUAUAGUCCCAACAAACAAAUGAGAAGAUUUAUCAGAAUUUUUGAAAUAUAUUUUAAGACUAACAGGAUUGUGAAUAAACACCAACAAGAGCAUCAAAGGAACAAGAAAGAAACAUCACCAGCCUUAAGAAGUCUCCAUGCGUCUUUUCCUCUGCUUCAAUAGCUUUAUUAAGAAUUCCACCUGAUGUUGCACUAGUGAAAAUAUUAUAUUCAAUGAAUAAAUAAUUGGAAACUUUAAAGUCUGCGGUUAACUAAAUUGCUAAUGACGAUUAAGAGAUUCAUUCCGCAAAUUAUUCAAGAAACUUUUGCAGAUAAUAUUAAUUAGAUUUUACAGCAAUUUUUCAAUAUUCUUUUCAUUCCCAUUGAAGGAUCAAGCAUUACGAGCCAAAAUGCAAACACAGGGCAUUACUUGAGUAGCAACUUAAUCAAUUGUCACAAGUUGUACAAGACUUUUCAAUCCAAAAGAAGGCUGAAUUGUAGAAUAAAAUGUAAUCCUAUCAUUAAAAGCCCAAACGAACAUUAUUAACUAGAUUUAUAAAUUUCUUGAAUCCUAAAACGAAAAAGUAUUCAUUCGUAUAAAGCUAUCAGUUCCGACCUCACUGUUCUACUCAUCCCCGUCUCGCUCAAUUUAGCCGAUUAAUAAAGCAGCUCAAGAAAUGUUUCUAAAAUUUAAUAAAUGAGAAAAUUCUAUAAUGAAUUAUUGUAAUACUAAAACACAAGAUUACCCAGAAAUGUAAUAGAACCUUUAACAAACACAUGGAAUGCAAAACCCAUAUGUAAAAAAUAUAUCAUUAAUGCAAGAGUCGGAAAAACAUCCUAUACUAUAAAUUAAUCACAAAUCGAGUAAGAGAAACAAUCAAACAAAACAAUAUUGCAAAAAAAAAAAAAAAUCAUACUUAGGGUUUAAAAGAGAUGAGAACUUUGAAGCUCGUGUUGAAGAUAGUUGAGAUAACGGCGAAGCUCACCAUCACUUGCUAGAAAUCACUGAGAAAUAGGUAAAGCUUGCUUGCGAAUGAGUGUGGCUUUCAGGGAUUCUUGAUGGCUAGGGUUUCGGCUGUCGUCGACAGGUGAGGUUUUGGUUUCGAUUUAGGACUGAAUUUGAUUCCGCUGUGGCAAAGAAAGACUGCGGCGGGUCAGCGGCGAGCCAACGACAGUGAGGGUUGUCAUUGUCAGUGAGGAGCGAGCUACAUUCGAGAGAGAGAAGUUUUAGAGUAAUGAGUGAGUGUGGCCUUAACACUUAGGGAAAAAAGAGGUUGAAAUACUAAUAAAGGUGUGAAACAACGUCGUUUCACUUCUUUCUUU
This 1359-nucleotide long non-coding RNA is filed under the name Citrus x clementina. RNAcentral's name for it is "Citrus clementina (C. clementina) long non-coding RNA (CCLE_LNC000444)". The record is from RNAcentral. Lineage: Eukaryota; Viridiplantae; Streptophyta; Magnoliopsida; Sapindales; Rutaceae.